AUUGAACGCUGGCGGUAUGCUUAACACAUGCAAGUCGAACGGUAGCAGGCCUUCGGGCGCUGACGAGUGGCGGACGGGUGAGUAACGCGUAGGAAUCUGCCUCAUAGUGGGGGACAACGUGGGGAAACUCACGCUAAUACCGCAUACGCCCUACGGGGGAAAGCGGGGGAUCUUCGGACCUCGCGCUAAUGAGAUGAGCCUGCGUUAGAUUAGCUAGUUGGUAGGGUAAAGGCCUACCAAGGCGACGAUCUAUAGCUGGUCUGAGAGGACGAUCAGCCACACUGGGACUGAGACACGGCCCAGACUCCUACGGGAGGCAGCAGUGGGGAAUAUUGGACAAUGGGCGCAAGCCUGAUCCAGCAAUACCGCGUGUGUGAAGAAGGCCUUAGGGUGUAAAGCACUUUCAAUUGGGAGGAAAACCUGUCGGUCAAUACCCGGCAGCUUGACAUUACCUUUAGAAGAAGCACCGGCUAAACUCCGUGCCAGCAGCCGCGGUAAU
This 499-nucleotide ribosomal RNA is filed under the name uncultured bacterium. RNAcentral's name for it is "bacterial SSU rRNA". It matches the Rfam family "Bacterial small subunit ribosomal RNA", at positions 30 to 524 of the family's 1533-position model. The record is from RNAcentral.